CCUGACUGCUAUCGGAUUGAUACUAAGCCAUGCGAGUCUUUGCAGUAAUGCAAGGCAUACGGCUCAGUAACACGUAGUCAACUUACCCUAUGGACGAGGGUAAUCUCGGGAAACUGAGCAUAAUACUCGAUAGAUCAUAAUGCCUGGAAUGGUUUAUGGUUGAAAUGAUUCGUCGCCAUAGGAUGGGACUGCGGCCUAUCAGCUUGUUGGUGAGGUAAUGGCCCACCAAGGCGAUUACAGGUACGGGCUCUGAGAGGAGAAGCCCGGAGAUGGGUACUGAGACAAGGACCCAGGCCCUAUGGGGCGCAGCAGGCGAGAAAACUUUGCAAUGUGCGAAAGCACGACAAGGUUAAUCCGAGUGAUUUCUGCUAAAGAAAUCUUUUGCAAGUCAUAAAACCACUAGUGAAUAAGGGGUGGGCAAGUUCUGGUGUCAGCCGCCGCGGUAAAACCAGCACCUCAAGUGGUCAGGAGGAUUAUUGGGCCUAAAGCAUCCGUAGCCGGCUCUGUAAGUUUUCGGUUAAAUCCAUGUGCUCAACGCAUGGGCUGCCGAAAAUACUGCAUAGCUAGGGAGUGGGAGAGGUAGACGGUACUCGGUAGGAAGGGGUAAAAUCCUUUGAUCUAUCGAUGACCACCUGUGGCGAAGGCGGUCUACCAGAACACGUUCGACGGUGAGGGAUGAAAGCUGGGGGAGCAAACCGGAUUAGAUACCCGGGUAGUCCCAGCUGUAAACGAUGCAGACUCGAUGAUGCAUUGGCAUAUAGCCAGUGCAGUGUCGCAGGGAAGCCGUUAAGUCUGCCGCCUGGGAAGUACGUACGCAAGUAUGAAACUUAAAGGAAUUGGCGGGGGAGCACCACCAAGGGGUGAAGCCUGCGGUUC
RNAcentral lists this ribosomal RNA (876 nucleotides) under uncultured archaeon. Its description in RNAcentral is "bacterial SSU rRNA". It matches the Rfam family "Archaeal small subunit ribosomal RNA", at positions 21 to 903 of the family's 1478-position model. The record is from RNAcentral.